AAAGCAGAUUGUUGCGGAGAAUACGUGGCCGGGCCUUGUACACACCGCCCGUCACACGAUGGGAGUGGGUUGCUCCUGAAGUGGAUAGUCUAACCUUCGGGAGGACGUUCACCACGGAGUGAUUCAUGACUGGGGUGAAGUCGUAACAAGGUAGCCCUAGGGGAACCUGGGGCUGGAUCACCUCCUUAUACGA
RNAcentral lists this ribosomal RNA (193 nucleotides) under Pseudoalteromonas piscicida. RNAcentral describes it as "partial 16S ribosomal RNA". It matches the Rfam family "Bacterial small subunit ribosomal RNA", at positions 1346 to 1533 of the family's 1533-position model. Lineage: Bacteria; Pseudomonadati; Pseudomonadota; Gammaproteobacteria; Alteromonadales; Pseudoalteromonadaceae. The record is from RNAcentral.